ACAUGUAGYGGUGAAAUACAUAGAUAUGUCAUAGAACACCGAUUGCGAAGGCAGCUCACAUAACUGUAACUGACGCUGAGGCUCGAAAGYGCGGGGAUCAAACAGGAUUAGAUACCCUGGUAGUCCGCACUGUAAACGAUGAUUACUCGCUGCUGGGAGGUAACUUUCAGUGGCUUACCGAAMGCGAUAAGUAAUCCACCUGGGGAGUACGCCGGCAACGGUG
This 223-nucleotide ribosomal RNA is filed under the name uncultured bacterium. RNAcentral describes it as "partial 16S ribosomal RNA". It matches the Rfam family "Bacterial small subunit ribosomal RNA", at positions 671 to 896 of the family's 1533-position model. The record is from RNAcentral.